This 74-nucleotide non-coding RNA is filed under the name Kitasatospora aureofaciens. Lineage: Bacteria; Bacillati; Actinomycetota; Actinomycetes; Kitasatosporales; Streptomycetaceae. The record is from RNAcentral.
GGGGAAGCCGGUGCGAAUCCGGCGCUGACCCGCAACCGUGGACCCGACCGUGCGCCGGGCGAGCCGGAGCACCC